CAUUACUUUGCCAACAAAGGUCCGUCUAGUCAAGGCCAUGGUUUUUCCAAUAGUCAUGUAUGGAUGUGAGAGUUGGACUAUAAAGAAAGCUGAGCACUGAAGAACUGAUGCUUUUGAACUGUGGUGUUGGAAGACUCUUGAGAGUCCCUUGGACUGCAAGGAGAUCCAACCAGUCCAUCCUAAAGGAGAUCAGUCCUGAAUAUUCAUUGGAAGGACUGAUGCUGAAGCUGAAACUCCAAUACUUUGGCCACUUGAUAUGAAGACCCAUUUGAAAAGACCCUGAUGCUAGGAAAGAUUGAGGGCAGGUGGAGAAGGGGACGACAGAGGAUGAGAUGAUUGGAUGGCAUCAUUGACUCAAUGGAUAUGAGUUUGGGUGGACUCUGGGAGUUGGUGAUGGACAGGGAGGCCUGGUGUGCUGCAGUUCAUGGGGUUGCAAAGAGUCAGACACGACUGAACGACUAAACUGAAUUGAACUGAAAGGCAUCAAAGAUACUUCAUAAGAAGAUACCUGGCAUACUAAGAAAUGAAACAGUUUACCAUAGGUUCUUUCACACAACAUGGAUAAGGUGUAGAAAUGGAGUCAAGGAAGCUGAGAUACAUAAUAAUCAGUGGACAUGAAUUUUCACAAACUCCAGGAGACAGUGAAGGACAGGGAAGCCUGGUGUGCUGCAGUCGACGGGGCUGCAGAGUUGAACACAACUUAGAGACUGAACAACAACAAGCCUGUAUAUCCAAUGCCCCACCCACCUGGAAAUUUUCUGUUUCUCUAAACAUCCUGACUUCCUAUGGCUUGCACACACUCUACUCCUUAACAGGUUCCAACUUCCUUCAUUCAUUUUUUAUCUAGGGAAUUUCCACUCAUCUUCAAGAUCUCAGCUUUGAGCAGCUUUUAAUGUCUUCCCCACGUGGACAGAGUUGCUUUGGUCUUGCGGUUUCCACCAGAACUUUGGCCAUACCAUUUCUUUAACUCUUAUCUUGGUUAAUAUUGAAAAUUAUCUGUGCAUAUGUCUUCCCAAUUAGGACUUGAAUUAUUUGAGGACUAAACUCAACAGCCAGCAUAAUAUUCCAUAUAAGGUAGAUAAUCCAUGAAAUAUUUUGUGCAUGAGAAUACUAAUAAAUUAUUUGCUGCAAAAGUAUUAGAAUUAAGGAUAUAGGCAAAGAGCCUCCAUUCUCUGAAUGCAUUUCAGAACUAAUUUUGUUUUCCUUUGGCUUCCCAUGUGAUGUUAAUGGUAAAGAACCGGCCUGCCAAUGCAGGAGACAUAAGAGAUGUGGGUUCGAUCCCUGGGUCAGGAAGAUUCCCUGGAGGAGGGCAUGGCAACCCACUCUAGUAUUCUUGCGUGGAGAAUCUCAUAAACAGAGGAGCCUGACGGACUAUAGUCCAUAGUGUCGCAAAGAGUUGGACACAACUGAAUCAACUUAGUGCACGCACGCACUUGUUUACCUCGAUGAGAGAGACUCAGGUAUUUCAGGUAUAUAAUUGAAGACGGCCUUGAAUUUCAACGCUUCUAUGACUUUACAAACUUGUUUGUGAAAUAAUACUCAUACAAUUAAAUGUAUUUGGAUGAC
This is a long non-coding RNA of Capra hircus (goat), 1566 nucleotides long. The record is from Ensembl. NCBI's taxonomy places the organism in Eukaryota, Metazoa, Chordata, Mammalia, Artiodactyla, Bovidae.